Molecule: ribosomal RNA, 403 nt
Filed under: uncultured bacterium
Lineage: Bacteria
Description: bacterial SSU rRNA
Rfam family: Bacterial small subunit ribosomal RNA
Source: RNAcentral
CGGAUGGGUGAGUAACACGUGGGUAACCUGCCCUGUACUGGGGAAUAACAGUUGAACGACUGUUAAUGCCGCAUAUGCGCACGUUGCCGCAUGGUAGCGGGCGGAAAGGAUUUUAUCGGGUACAGGGAUGGGGCCCGCGCCGGAUUAACUAGUUGCGGGGUAACAGCCCACCAAGGUGAUGAUCCGUAGCCGACCUGAGAGGGUGACCGGCCACAUUGGGACUGAGACACGGCCCAAACUCCUACGGGAGGCAGCAGUGGGGGAUAUUGCACAAUGGGGGAAACCCUGAUGCAGCGACGCCGCGUGAAGGAUGACGUAUUUCGGUAUGUAAACUUCUAUCAGCGGGGAAGAAGAUGACGGUACCCGACUAAGAAGCCCCGGCUAACUACGUGCCAGCAGCCGC